RNAcentral lists this ribosomal RNA (696 nucleotides) under uncultured bacterium. Its description in RNAcentral is "bacterial SSU rRNA". It matches the Rfam family "Bacterial small subunit ribosomal RNA", at positions 125 to 817 of the family's 1533-position model. The record is from RNAcentral.
CCUACCUUGAACUCUGGGAUAGCCCGAAGAAAUUCGGAGUAAUACCGGAUUAUAUCAAGAUAUGACAUCACAGCUUGAUUAAAGGCGCGAGUUGGUUAAAGAUGGGCAUGCGUCCCAAUAGUUAGUUGGGGAGGUAACGGCUCACCAAGGCGAUGAUGGGUAGGGGCUCUGAGAGGAUUACCCCCCACAUUGGUACUGAGACAGGGACCAAACUCCUACGGGAGGCAGCAGUGAGGAAUAUUGGGCAAUGGACGGAAGUCUGACCCAGCCAUGCCGCGUGCAGGAAGACGGCCUUAUGGGUUGUAAACUGCUUUUAUGUAGGGAAAAAGUUCAUAUUGCGAUAUGAUUUGAUGGUACUACAGGAAUAAGAAUCGGCUAACUCCGUGCCAGCAGCCGCGGUAAUACGGAGGAUUCGAGCGUUAUCCGGAUUUAUUGGGUUUAAAGGGUGCGCAGGCGGACCAUUAAGUCAGUGGUGAAAUUUUCCGGCUCAACCGGGACAGUGCCAUUGAUACUGAUAGACUAGAGUAUAAUUGACGUAUGUGGAAUGUAGCAUGUAGCGGUGAAAUGCAUAGAGAUGCUACAGAACACCGAUAGCGAAGGCAGCAUACGAAGCUAUAACUGACGCUCAUGCACGAAAGCGUGGGGAUCAAACAGGAUUAGAUACCCUGGUAGUCCACGCUGUAAACGAUGAUAACU